This is a long non-coding RNA of Pygocentrus nattereri (red-bellied piranha), 1587 nucleotides long. RefSeq lists it as uncharacterized. The transcript has 2 exons. The record is from RefSeq and is a predicted model, not a curated record. Lineage: Eukaryota; Metazoa; Chordata; Actinopteri; Characiformes; Serrasalmidae.
CGCCUACAGCACAACAGGUCUAUGAGUUUAAGAGUUAUUUCCGCAGUCCUGUCAUAGGGCUCGCCUCUAAUUAUUGUUUAUACUUCGUGUUUGCUGUAAAGUUUCUUGUAUCUUCAGAAAGCCUUUAUUAAUCCACCAGCUCAGCUCAGCCAUUAUGAUACCAGCAUAAUAACGGCUGUGUUUCUCCUGUAAAUGAUAGUUCCGUGCUGAGAGCAGAGUAACUUCCCACACCCCGGAGCUCAGGGCUGAGGAGGGCCUUCAUUUCUUCAGUCAGGUGUUGACGGACCAUAUGCUUGUUUCCAGGGAUACCUAGAGCCGUUGCCAUAGAGUCCGUGAUGAAGGAAGGAUCCAGCACCAUGACUGCACCAUGGACCCCGCUGUUCUGAAGAUUGUCAGCAAAUUCCUGCGAAUGCACACAUUCACAUUCAAGACAAUUGCUUUUCCCUCCCCACAUCUUCAUGUAUCAUCUUUAUAAUAUGCUUCCACUUGCUUCUGUGUUUCCUCAGUAUAUGUCAAUAACGUACCUUCAGGUCGAUGUCUCUCAGCCAUUUAAUGAUGCGCUGGCAGGUCCACACCAAAGGGUCUGUGUUCUGGCUCUCACAUUCUGCUCGUCUUGCUUGCAGCACCUUCAGCCACAUGUACAACAUGGACCACACUGCCAUUUUACAUGCAUUUUAGACCAAAGCUGAUGGAAACAUGCACAUUUGGAAGUUGCGGAGACAUUGGCUGCUCCCAUGGGAACAAAACACAAAUCUGUGCCCAUGUCCUACAUAUUACUUGCAUUGCAUUUUUCUUCUGAGGUCUACUUAUACCAUUUGUGUGGUUUUAUGUUGUAAAAGCAAUCAUAGGUCAUCGGUACAUGACCGAUUUCCAACUUCUUUUUAACCCUUAGAAUGAAAUAGUCUGUGCCUUUAAGAUUGAUAUAUGUAAAUUACAUUUGUUCUGAUUGGCUACUCUCAUUCAAAAAGAAGUCCAGGAUAAAAUACUACUCAUAAUGUCAGCAUGAAUGGCUGGGGCUAAACAGCUGUAGGCUGAAUUGGUGGAUAUAUACGUAAAUUGUUUUUAUGACAAAAGCGGUGCUUUUACAACUUAAAGUUUCUUAUAGUUUCCAUGAAUGAACUGAAUGGACUGGAAAGUAAAUGGUAUGUUUUGAAACUUUUAUAGUGUUUACAUACUACAUCAAACUCUUUUUAUUUCAUAAAAGUAUGGAAAGUGGCAUGAAUGGAAUCCUAACAUUGCAGAUUAAAUAGGGCAUAAUAAAUACCUCAACAUUUGGUUUUGGUUCCUAAGAUAAAGGCUAGGGUUUGGGUAGAAGGUAAGUGUACCACAACAGCACUGAGUUGCAGUAACAUAGAAUAUCCCCAGGUUUAUGGAAAAGGCUGUGGACACAUACAUCCUAAGACUAAGACAGGGGCUUCAAUGCAAAUUAAUUAAGCUAUUCUUAGGUUAUAGAAGUAUGUAAUAAAACUUUGGAACACACUUCUGAACAUUUUAACACAAAUGUAAUGUUUAUUUACUGAAAUCAAUGUAUUGGGAAAAAGAAUAAACCAUAAAUUGUGGCCUAUGCAAAGAUUAGGGCAUAUUUUA